CUAUUGCCGCAGGAUGAUACCUCGAGCAAGUCUUUGGUUAGAGUGAACACAAUCCAUAACGGAGGUGGCAUCAAGCGGCCUGGCUUGACUCCCUUGUUUGCCCAUGUAUGAGAUAGCAGGCAUGUCCCAGGAUGUGGGAGUGAGACGGAUCACAAACUCUUAGAGAUAGGUGGAGGCCGAAUAUUGAGUCGAGGUAGAGAUUGUUAAGAAAAAUACAUCUCAAAAUUCAAUCCACAUUGAGCCCAC
RNAcentral lists this long non-coding RNA (246 nucleotides) under Elaeis guineensis (African oil palm). RNAcentral describes it as "long non-coding RNA (EGUI_LNC039083)". The record is from RNAcentral. Lineage: Eukaryota; Viridiplantae; Streptophyta; Magnoliopsida; Arecales; Arecaceae.